This is a long non-coding RNA of Myripristis murdjan (pinecone soldierfish), 700 nucleotides long. RefSeq lists it as uncharacterized. The transcript has 3 exons. The record is from RefSeq and is a predicted model, not a curated record. NCBI's taxonomy places the organism in Eukaryota, Metazoa, Chordata, Actinopteri, Holocentriformes, Holocentridae.
ACUAAAACCCAACUGGAAAGAGGAGGAAACACUGACGCUCGUGGAGUUAGUUGAAGAGAGAAGACAUGUUAUAAAAGGCAAGUUCAGUCCAACCUUGACAAGUGCCGAAAAGAAAAAAGCAUGGGAAGACAUCUCCAGACUUUUAACUGCGUCUCAUGUCACCAGCAUUCGCUCACCAUCUGACUGUGAGAAAAAGUGGUACAAUAUCCUCUCCAAAAGCCGCACUGAAAUAUCCACCUUUAAGUCCAACAUUACACACACUGGCGGGGGACCCCCAGGCAAGCCACUGAGUGCAGUUUCCGAAGUGGUGCAGCGCAUUCUUGGGGAGAACAGUGCUGUGAUCUCAGGAGUGGAGGGAAGUCAGGAUCCUGCAUUAAUGAAACUGGAAAUGCUAUCACAAAAGCAAGUAUUGAUGAAGACGCAGGGAGGGCUCCCAAACCCCACUGGCUUGAGUUUGGACCCAGAUUCUCCGUGAGCCCCUAUUGUGUCUGAUAUGCUCCCAAGCACCUCAAGUCAGGACUGCCCGGCAGGGGACUGCAGGGUGUCGGACGAAGGCCUGGCAGAGGAGGACCCGCUCCCAAAUGACCUGCAAGCACUGAAGAGGGAGAAGAUAAAGCUCCAAAUUAAAGUAUUGAGACUGCAGCAUGAAUAUUAUACUCUGGCACUAAAAAAAAAAAAAAAGAAAAGAGUGAAAAAUAAA